RNAcentral lists this ribosomal RNA (522 nucleotides) under uncultured bacterium. RNAcentral describes it as "bacterial SSU rRNA". It matches the Rfam family "Bacterial small subunit ribosomal RNA", at positions 62 to 616 of the family's 1533-position model. The record is from RNAcentral.
UCGAACGAGAAAGUGGAGCAACCCAUGAGUACAGUGGCGUACGGGUGAGUAACACGUGACUAACCUACCCUCGAGUGGGGAAUAACUUCGGGAAACCGAGGCUAACACCGCAUAAUGUCUACGGACCAAAUGCGCAAGCAGCUUGAGGAGGGGGUCGCGGCUGAUUAGCUUGUUGGCGGGGUAACGGCCCACCAAGGCAAUGAUCAGUAGCCGGCCUGAGAGGGCGCACGGCCACACUGGAACUGAAACACGGUCCAGACUCCUACGGGAGGCAGCAGUGGGGAAUUUUGCGCAAUGGGGGAAACCCUGACGCAGCAACGCCGCGUGGAGGAUGAAGCCCCUUGGGGUGUAAACUCCUUUCGAUCGGGACGAUUAUGACGGUACCGGAUGAAGAAGCACCGGCUAACUCUGUGCCAGCAGCCGCGGUAAUACAGAGGGUGCAAGCGUUGUUCGGAAUUAUUGGGCGUAAAGGGUGCGUANGCGGUGCGGUAAGUCUUCUGUGAAACCUCCGGGCUUAACUCG